AUUGAACGCUGGCGGCAGGCCUAACACAUGCAAGUCGAGCGAGCGGCGGACGGGUGAGUAAUGUAUGGGGACUGCCCGAUAUAGGGGGAUAACUACUGGAAACGGUAGCUAAUACCGCAUACUAUCGGAUAACCCAUAUGGGAUUAGCUAGUAGGUGAGGUAUUGGGUCACCUAGGCGACGAUCCCUAGCUGGUCUGAGAGGAUGAUCAGCCACACUGGGAAUGAGACACGGCCCAGACUCCGACGGAGGCAGCAGUGGGGAAUAUUGCACAAUGGGGGCAAGCCUGAUGCAGCCAUGCCGCGUGUAUGAAGAAGGCCGUAGGGGUGUAAAGUACUUUCAGUCGGGAGGCGUUACCCACAGAAGAAGCACCGGCUAACUCCGUGCCAGCAGCCGCGGUAAUUC
RNAcentral lists this ribosomal RNA (403 nucleotides) under uncultured bacterium. RNAcentral describes it as "partial 16S ribosomal RNA". It matches the Rfam family "Bacterial small subunit ribosomal RNA", at positions 30 to 526 of the family's 1533-position model. The record is from RNAcentral.